CACGUAGGGGGCAAGCGUUGUCCGGAUUCAUUGGGCGUAAAGAGCUCGUAGGCGGUUCGAUAAGUCGGGUGUGAAACCUCCAGGCUCAACCUGGAGACGCCACCCGAUACUGUCGUGACUAGAGUCCAGUAGGGGAGCGUGGAAUUCCUGGUGUAGCGGUGAAAUGCGCAGAUAUCAGGAGGAACACCGAUGGCGAAGGCAGUGUUCUGGGCCAGUACUGACGCUCAGGCACGAAAGCGUGGGGAGCAAACAGG
This 254-nucleotide ribosomal RNA is filed under the name uncultured bacterium. RNAcentral's name for it is "partial 16S ribosomal RNA". It matches the Rfam family "Bacterial small subunit ribosomal RNA", at positions 524 to 776 of the family's 1533-position model. The record is from RNAcentral.